RNAcentral lists this ribosomal RNA (491 nucleotides) under uncultured bacterium. RNAcentral's name for it is "partial 16S ribosomal RNA". It matches the Rfam family "Bacterial small subunit ribosomal RNA", at positions 29 to 506 of the family's 1533-position model. The record is from RNAcentral.
AGUGAACGCUGGCGGUAGGCCUAACACAUGCAAGUCGAACGGCAGCACAGUAAGAGCUUGCUCUUACGGGUGGCGAGUGGCGGACGGGUGAGGAAUACAUCGGAAUCUACUUUUUCGUGGGGGAUAACGUAGGGAAACUUACGCUAAUACCGCAUACGACCUACGGGUGAAAGCAGGGGAUCUUCGGACCUUGCGCGAUUGAAUGAGCCGAUGUCGGAUUAGCUAGUUGGCGGGGUAAAGGCCCACCAAGACGACGAUCCGUAGCUGGUCUGAGAGGAUGAUCAGCCACACUGGAACUGAGACACGGUCCAGACUCCUACGGGAGGCAGCAGUGGGGAAUAUUGGACAAUGGGCGCAAGCCUGAUCCAGCCAUACCGCGUGGGUGAAGAAGGCCUUCGGGUUGUAAAGCCCUUUUGUUGGGAAAGAAAAGCAGCAGGUUAAUACCCCGCUGUUCUGACGGUACCCAAAGAAUAAGCACCGGCUAACUUCGU